AGCGGGUGGUAUUCAGAACAGCGUGAGCAAAAGAAUUUCUUCAGGCACGUGUUAAACAUGCAGAUUUCUUGGACCGCAUGCCAGACCUGCUAAAUCAGAUUCUUUCGGAACUUGUGUUCUUAACCUGCUCUUGCGUAUGCAUUGUAGAGGGCCAUUAAAUUUUUGAUGAGUACAACUUUUUAACCAAAAGAUACUUUUCUAUCUGACCAGGUUAUCAAGUGCAAGGCUGCAGUUGCUUGGGAGGCUGGAAAGCCACUCUCCAUAGAGGAGAUAGAGGUGGCACCCCCAAAGGCUCAUGAAGUUCGAAUCAAGAUCAUUGCCACUGCGGUUUGCCACACCGAUGCCUAUACCCUGAGCGGAGCUGAUCCUGAGGGUUGUUUUCCAGUGAUCUUGGGACAUGAAGGUGCUGGAAUUGUGGAAAGUGUUGGUGAGGGAGUUACUAAGCUGAAGGCGGGUGACACUGUCAUCCCACUUUACAUCCCACAGUGUGGAGAAUGCAAAUUUUGUCUAAAUCCUAAAACUAACCUUUGCCAGAAGAUAAGAGUCACUCAAGGGAAAGGAUUAAUGCCAGAUGGUACCAGCAGAUUUACUUGCAAAGGAAAGACAGUUUUGCAUUACAUGGGAACCAGCACAUUUUCUGAAUACACAGUUGUGGCUGAUAUCUCUGUUGCUAAAAUAGAUCCUUUAGCACCUUUGGAUAAAGUCUGCCUUCUAGGUUGUGGCAUUUCAACUGGUUAUGGGGCUGCUGUGAACACUGCCAAGGUGGAGCCUGGCUCUGUUUGUGCCGUCUUUGGUCUGGGAGGAGUUGGAUUGGCAGUUAUCAUGGGCUGUAAAGUGGCUGGUGCAUCCCGGAUCAUUGGUGUGGACAUCAAUAAAGAUA
This 880-nucleotide small RNA is filed under the name Pongo abelii (Sumatran orangutan). RNAcentral's name for it is "processed transcript". Lineage: Eukaryota; Metazoa; Chordata; Mammalia; Primates; Hominidae. The record is from RNAcentral.